Molecule: ribosomal RNA, 468 nt
Filed under: uncultured bacterium
Lineage: Bacteria
Description: partial 16S ribosomal RNA
Rfam family: Bacterial small subunit ribosomal RNA
Source: RNAcentral
GACGAACGCUGGCGGCGUGCUUAACACAUGCAAGUCGAACGGAAAGGCCCUGCUUUUUUGGGGUUCCCGGGUGGCGAACGGGUGAGUAAGACGUGAGUAACCUGCCCUUCCCUUUCGUAUAACUUCACGAAACUGGGGCUAAUACCGGAUAGGAGCUCCUGCUCUAUGGCGUGGGUUGGAUAGUUUCGGCUGUUGGGGAUGGGCUCGCGGCUUUUCAGCUUGCUGGUGGGGUAGUGGCUUACCAAGGCUUUGACGGGUAGCCGGCCUGAGAGGGUGACCGGGCACCUGGGGACUGAGAUACGGCCCAGAGUCGUACGGGAGACAGCAGUGGGGAAGAUUGCACAAUGGGCGGAAGCCGGAUGAGGCAACGCCGCGUGCGGGAUGACGGCCUUCGGGUUGAGAAAAGCAGUCGCGUGUGACGAAGCGGGGGUGACGGUAAUGGGUAAAGAAGCACCGGCUAACUACGUG